GUUUCAUACGGGCCAAUGGUGACAUCCAACUUGGAGUCCAACUCCAUCCAAGCAAUAUCUGAAUCAUAAUAGUCAUUUGAAAGAAAAGCAUCAGCCUUGCUAUGAAGAAGUCUCUUUAAACUAGAUGAGCUGGUCUUAUCUCCUGCUUUACGAAGCAAGGUCGCUGCUUCAGCAAGAAGAGAGUUGUACUCUUGAGAAUAAGGAACCACAUACAGAUCUUGAGGAGAGCUAGUGACAUUUCCCAUUUUUUGGGAUACUGAAUCUUCAGACAAUGAUUCACUAUGCCUUCUAAUAACAUUGAAAAAGCCCAUUGCUUCUUCCUGUUUAUCUUGUUG
This 335-nucleotide unclassified non-coding RNA is filed under the name Hevea brasiliensis (rubber tree). The record is from RNAcentral. Lineage: Eukaryota; Viridiplantae; Streptophyta; Magnoliopsida; Malpighiales; Euphorbiaceae.